This 301-nucleotide ribosomal RNA is filed under the name uncultured bacterium. RNAcentral describes it as "partial 16S ribosomal RNA". It matches the Rfam family "Bacterial small subunit ribosomal RNA", at positions 509 to 807 of the family's 1533-position model. The record is from RNAcentral.
CAGCCGCCGCGGUAAUACGAAGGGGGCUAGCGUUGUUCGGAAUUACUGGGCGUAAAGGGCGCGUAGGCGGCCAUUCAAGUUAGAUGUGAAAGCCCUGGGCUCAACCUAGGAAUUGCAUUUGAUACUGUUUGGCUUGAGUUCGGGAGAGGUGAGUGGAAUUCCCAGUGUAGAGGUGAAAUUCGCAGAUAUUGGGAAGAACACCAGUGGCGAAGGCGGCUCACUGGACCGACACUGACGCUGAGGCGCGAAAGCGUGGGGGGCAAACAGGAUUAGAUACCCCUGUAGUCCCUGUCUCUUAUAC